This 70-nucleotide transfer RNA is filed under the name Schedophilus medusophagus (Cornish blackfish). Its description in RNAcentral is "tRNA-Val". It matches the Rfam family "tRNA". From Rfam's summary of the family: Transfer RNA (tRNA) molecules are approximately 80 nucleotides in length. Their secondary structure includes four short double-helical elements and three loops (D, anti-codon, and T loops). Further hydrogen bonds mediate the characteristic L-shaped molecular structure. tRNAs have two regions of fundamental functional importance: the anti-codon, which is responsible for specific mRNA codon recognition, and the 3' end, to which the tRNAs corresponding amino acid is attached (by aminoacyl-tRNA synthetases). tRNAs cope with the degeneracy of the genetic code in two manners: having more than one tRNA (with a specific anti-codon) for a particular amino acid; and 'wobble' base-pairing, i.e. permitting non-standard base-pairing at the 3rd anti-codon position. The record is from RNAcentral. Lineage: Eukaryota; Metazoa; Chordata; Actinopteri; Scombriformes; Centrolophidae.
UAGAGUAUAGCUAAAGUCAUAGCCUUUCCCUUACACUGAAAAAUUAUCCGUUCAACCCGGGUUACUCUAA